UGGGGAAUAUUGCACAAUGGGCGCAAGCCUGAUGCAGCCAUGCCGCGUGUGUGAAGAAGGCCUUCGGGUUGUAAAGCACUUUCAGCGGGGAGGAAGGCGUUAAGGUUAAUAACCUUGGCGAUUGACGUUACCCGCAGAAGAAGCACCGGCUAACUCCGUGCCAGCAGCCGCGGUAAUACGGAGGGUGCAAGCGUUAAUCGGAAUUACUGGGCGUAAAGCGCACGCAGGCGGUCUGUCAAGUCGGAUGUGAAAUCCCCGGGCUCAACCUGGGAAAUGCAUUAGAAACUGGCAGGCUAGAGUCUUGUAGAGGGGGGUAGAAUUCCAGGUGUAGCGGUGAAAUGCGUAGAGAUCUGGAGGAAUACCGGUGGCGAAGGCGGCCCCCUGGACAAAGACUGACGCUCAGGUGCGAAAGCGUGGGGAGCAAACAGG
Molecule: ribosomal RNA, 429 nt
Filed under: Chloroflexota bacterium
Lineage: Bacteria; Bacillati; Chloroflexota
Description: Chloroflexi bacterium partial 16S ribosomal RNA
Rfam family: Bacterial small subunit ribosomal RNA
Source: RNAcentral